GACGGAGGGGGCAAGCGUUAUUCGGAAUUAUUGGGCGUAAAGAGCGUGUAGGCGGCCGGUUAAGUCAGGUGUGAAAGCCCGGGGCUCAACCUCGGAAGUGCACUUGAUACUGGUCGGCUUGAGUUCGGGAGAGGGAAGCGGAAUUCCUGGUGUAGAGGUGAAAUUCGUAGAUAUCAGGAGGAACAUCGGUGGCGAAGGCGGCUUCCUGGACCGAAACUGACGCUGAGACGCGAAAGCGUGGGGAGCAAACAGG
This 253-nucleotide ribosomal RNA is filed under the name uncultured bacterium. RNAcentral's name for it is "partial 16S ribosomal RNA". It matches the Rfam family "Bacterial small subunit ribosomal RNA", at positions 524 to 776 of the family's 1533-position model. The record is from RNAcentral.